RNAcentral lists this long non-coding RNA (204 nucleotides) under Olea europaea (common olive). RNAcentral's name for it is "long non-coding RNA (OEUR_LNC011407)". The record is from RNAcentral. Lineage: Eukaryota; Viridiplantae; Streptophyta; Magnoliopsida; Lamiales; Oleaceae.
CCGAGGCCACACCAGUCAGCACAGAGAACGUCCCCUCGAAAGAGAAGUGGACGCCGAAGUCACAUCUUAUGUGCAAGGGAACCAGCCAUCAGAAUCACACUUGGGGGACAAUUAUCCUAAAAAAUAUGAGGAACAGAGGUCGGUAAGCGUCUUCGACCGGAUUAAGGAGGAUCCUAGCAAUAGGGUCUGCCCAAUGAGAAGAUC